UUCGGGGAACGAUAACGGCGUCGAGCGGCGGACGGGUGAGUAAUGCCUAGGAAAUUGCCCUGAUGUGGGGGAUAACCAUUGGAAACGAUGGCUAAUACCGCAUGAUGCCUACGGGCCAAAGAGGGGGACCUUCGGGCCUCUCGCGUCAGGAUAUGCCUAGGUGGGAUUAGCUAGUUGGUGAGGUAAGGGCUCACCAAGGCGACGAUCCCUAGCUGGUCUGAGAGGAUGAUCAGCCACACUGGAACUGAGACACGGUCCAGACUCCUACGGGAGGCAGCAGUGGGGAAUAUUGCACAAUGGGCGCAAGCCUGAUGCAGCCAUGCCGCGUGUGUGAAGAAGGCCUUCGGGUUGUAAAGCACUUUCAGUCGUGAGGAAGGUAGUGUAGUUAAUAGCUGCAUUAUUUGACGUUAGCGACAGAAGAAGCACCGGCUAACUCCGUGCCAGCAGCCGCGGUAAUACGGAGGGUGCGAGCGUUAAUCGGAAUUACUGGGCGUAAAGCGCAUGCAGGUGGUUUGUUAAGUCAGAUGUGAAAGCCCGGGGCUCAACCUCGGAAUAGCAUUUGAAACUGGCAGACUAGAGUACUGUAGAGGGGGGUAGAAUUUCAGGUGUAGCGGUGAAAUGCGUAGAGAUCUGAAGGAAUACCGGUGGC
Molecule: ribosomal RNA, 649 nt
Filed under: Vibrio azureus
Lineage: Bacteria; Pseudomonadati; Pseudomonadota; Gammaproteobacteria; Vibrionales; Vibrionaceae
Description: bacterial SSU rRNA
Rfam family: Bacterial small subunit ribosomal RNA
Source: RNAcentral